This 1210-nucleotide ribosomal RNA is filed under the name Microbacterium sp. RNAcentral describes it as "bacterial SSU rRNA". It matches the Rfam family "Bacterial small subunit ribosomal RNA", at positions 34 to 1248 of the family's 1533-position model. The record is from RNAcentral. Lineage: Bacteria; Bacillati; Actinomycetota; Actinomycetes; Micrococcales; Microbacteriaceae.
CAUGGGCGGCCGCGUAUACAUGCAUGUCGUACGGUGAACGUAAAGCUUGCUCUGUGGGAUCAGUGGCGAACGGGUGAGUAACACGUGAGCAACCUACCCCUGACUCUGGGAUAAGCGCUGGAAACGGCGUCUAAUACUGGAUACGAGUGGCGACCGCAUGGUCAGCUACUGGAAAGAUUUAUUGGUUGGGGAUGGGCUCGCGGCCUAUCAGCUUGUUGGUGAGGUAAUGGCUCACCAAGGCGUCGACGGGUAGCCGGCCUGAGAGGGUGACCGGCCACACUGGGACUGAGACACGGCCCAGACUCCUACGGGAGGCAGCAGUGGGGAAUAUUGCACAAUGGGCGCAAGCCUGAUGCAGCAACGCCGCGUGAGGGAUGACGGCCUUCGGGUUGUAAACCUCUUUUAGCAGGGAAGAAGCGAAAGUGACGGUACCUGCAGAAAAAGCGCCGGCUAACUACGUGCCAGCAGCCGCGGUAAUACGUAGGGCGCAAGCGUUAUCCGGAAUUAUUGGGCGUAAAGAGCUCGUAGGCGGUUUGUCGCGUCUGCUGUGAAAUCCGGAGGCUCAACCUCCGGCCUGCAGUGGGUACGGGCAGACUAGAGUGCGGUAGGGGAGAUUGGAAUUCCUGGUGUAGCGGUGGAAUGCGCAGAUAUCAGGAGGAACACCGAUGGCGAAGGCAGAUCUCUGGGCCGUAACUGACGCUGAGGAGCGAAAGGGUGGGGAGCAAACAGGCUUAGAUACCCUGGUAGUCCACCCCGUAAACGUUGGGAACUAGUUGUGGGGUCCAUUCCACGGAUUCCGUGACGCAGCUAACGCAUUAAGUUCCCCGCCUGGGGAGUACGGCCGCAAGGCUAAAACUCAAAGGAAUUGACGGGGACCCGCACAAGCGGCGGAGCAUGCGGAUUAAUUCGAUGCAACGCGAAGAACCUUACCAAGGCUUGACAUAUACGAGAACGGGCCAGAAAUGGUCAACUCUUUGGACACUCGUAAACAGUGGGUGCAUGGUUGUCGUCAGCUCGUGUCGUGAGAUGUUGGGGUUAAGUCCCGCAACGAGCGCACCCUCGUUCUAUGUUGCCAGCACGUAAUGGUGGAACUCAUGGGAUACUGCGGGGUCAACUCGGGAGGAAGGUGGGGAUGACGUCAAAUCAUCAUGCCCCUUAUUGUCUUGGGCCUCCCCGCCAUGCCUUCCAAAUGGGCCGGUUACAAAAGCUC